GACGAACGCUGGCGGCGUGCUUAACACAUGCAAGUCGAACGGUGAUGCUCCAGCUUGCUGGAGUGGAUCAGUGGCGAACGGGUGAGUAACACGUGAGCAACCUGCCCCAGACUCUGGAAUAAGCGCUGGAAACGGCGUCUAAUACUGGAUACGAAACUGGCCCGCAUGGGCAUGGUUUGGAAAGUUUUUCGGUUUGGGAUGGGCUCGCGGCCUAUCAGCUUGUUGGUGAGGUAAUGGCUCACCAAGGCGACGACGGGUAGCCGGCCUGAGAGGGCGACCGGCCACACUGGGACUGAGACACGGCCCAGACUCCUACGGGAGGCAGCAGUGGGGAAUAUUGCACAAUGGGCGAAAGCCUGAUGCAGUGACGCCGCGUGAGGGAUGACGGCCUUCGGGUUGUAAACCUCUUUCAGCAGGGAAGAAGCGAAAGUGACGGUACCUGCAGAAGAAGCACCGGCUAACUACGUG
RNAcentral lists this ribosomal RNA (468 nucleotides) under uncultured bacterium. Its description in RNAcentral is "partial 16S ribosomal RNA". It matches the Rfam family "Bacterial small subunit ribosomal RNA", at positions 28 to 507 of the family's 1533-position model. The record is from RNAcentral.